UCAGACGAAGCUUUUGUAUAUAAGAAAUGCAAAGCUACCACACCAGGAAGAUAUUAAGAAGAGAUCUAAAUUCCUUCAAUUUGCUGUUUAGGAAUGAAGAGUAACAAGUAAUGAAAACGCCAAAGUGUUUCCUUUAUCUGCAUUUGCACCUGCACCUCCUACAUCACUCUCCUCUCUUUAAUUUCACCAUUUUUUCCUUGGUUUUUUAAUCAGGUAAAAAUUCUUCGCGUAUAAUAGGUGUGAAUUCAAUUUUCACUAUUCACUUUUCCCUUGAUUUUCACUAUCUACCUUCCCCUCCCAGGGAGGCGGAUCCAACCUAGUAGGUAUGGGUUUACCAAUUCAAUACCUUUUAAUUUGUACAUAACUUGUAUAUAAAUAUUUGAUUGUGAAUCCAAUUACUUACUUUAUUAUAUAUUUACUUGAGAUCGUUAUAAAAACUCAUAAACUGCAAAUUCUAUUCUGGAUUCGCCUAUGCCCUUUCCCCUUCUCUCAUGUAAUGGAAAAGAAAAUAGGAAACCAAAAAUAAAGUAAAAAGAGGCUCCAUUAUGAUAAAGACUACAUGAAAGUACAAUGGAUUCAAAGGAGGUGCAGGUUCAAGUGCAGUUUCAGGCAGCAGGCAAAGAUUGGACUUGAAUGGUAGCUCAUUGGAGAUAAAGCAAAGUGAAGGGGCGUAUCCACCAAAGAUAACAGCAGAAAAGAUGGGAACACAAAUGAGCAGGUAACUUAUAUUUUCUUUUCACCAUUAAUUAUAAAUUAAAAUGAAAUUCUGAGUUCGAUGGAGAUUUAAUUUUCUUGUUCAUAUAAUAAAAUCAUGGGUAAAUAUUUUAGUGGUAACUAACGAAUGACACAGUGUAAUCAUUAAAGUUUAAAGAUGAGACUUCACUAAGUCCGAAUGGAGCCAUAGUGAAGAUUCAUAAAGUCAAUUCCAAUUAGUUUGGGAUUGACGAAUUGUUGACAAAACUACAAUAGUUACUAUUAGUGAAUCUUUUUUUCACACAAUACAGCUGGCAUUUCCUUGGCAACUCCCAGAUUUUACUAAUGCAUGUUGUUACAUACAUAAGUGAUUUUAGAAUUUUGAAUUUAUGAAUUCGCAGCUUAUUGGGUUAUGAUUAAAGGUGUACAAAACGAAUCGGAAAACCAUACUAAUCCGAAAAGUCAAAUCAAACCAAUUAAAAAACCCGACUAGGCUUGGUUUGAUUUGGUUUGAUAUUGAAUUAAAAAA
Nicotiana tabacum (common tobacco) is the source of this 1222-nucleotide long non-coding RNA. RefSeq lists it as uncharacterized. The record is from RefSeq and is a predicted model, not a curated record. Lineage: Eukaryota; Viridiplantae; Streptophyta; Magnoliopsida; Solanales; Solanaceae.